This 387-nucleotide ribosomal RNA is filed under the name uncultured bacterium. Its description in RNAcentral is "bacterial SSU rRNA". It matches the Rfam family "Bacterial small subunit ribosomal RNA", at positions 30 to 416 of the family's 1533-position model. The record is from RNAcentral.
AUUGAACGCUGGCGGCAUGCCUUACACAUGCAAGUCGAACGGCAGCGGACCUUCGGGUGCCGGCGAGUGGCGAACGGGUGAGUAAUAUAUCGGAACGUACCUUUCAGUGGGGGAUAACGUAGCGAAAGUUACGCUAAUACCGCAUAUUCUGUGAGCAGGAAAGCAGGGGAUCGCAAGACCUUGCGCUGAUUGAGCGGCCGAUAUCAGGAUUAGGCCUAGUUGGUGAGGUAAUGGCUCACCAAGGCGACGAUCUGUAGCGGGUCUGAGAGGAUGAUCCGCCACACUGGAACUGAGACACGGUCCAGACUCCUACGGGAGGCAGCAGUGGGGAAUUUUGGACAAUGGCGCAAGCCUGAUCCAGCCAUGCCGCGUGAAGUGAAGAAGGCC